This is a long non-coding RNA of Mastomys coucha (southern multimammate mouse), 2532 nucleotides long. RefSeq lists it as uncharacterized. Lineage: Eukaryota; Metazoa; Chordata; Mammalia; Rodentia; Muridae. The transcript has 5 exons. The record is from RefSeq and is a predicted model, not a curated record.
CUAAAAUAGAAUAUUAAGUGACAAGUGAAUAAAAGUGAAAGUAAAUGUAUGAAAUGGAUAAGCACCGCAAGGCGGUAACCCAGAGUGGAACCUCAGAUAAAGAUAGAGUGAUACACGAAGCCCAACGUGCAGACAUAGAUAGAGAUAAGUAAAGAGUAUAAAAACCACGGCCAGAGGCAACUGAGUCAGAGAUGAGAUGACUUGCUGAAUGGAUCAGACGCUGCUCAGACUCAAGACUCUCGCCUCCCGCCUCCCGACAAGGCGCUCACACAACCGGAGGGGACGCCCAAGACGUCAGAGCCCGAGCCUGAGAGCGGAGACAGAUGAAAGGUGAAUGGCGCCACUUCCUGGGUGGUCUUUCCAUUUCUUUCUCACUGAGUUGUUGAAGGCACUCGGGACAGAGUUGUAAGGACCCUUUCUAGUGUUGUUCCUUCUUGAAAGCUGAGUCUUAGGGGACCCCUGUGAAAGGGUGGAGCGACCUCCCUCGGCAAAGGUUGAGAGCUGCUGAUUUACUCCAAAGUGCCUGGAUUUACUUAUAGGCUAAUCUUAGUGAAAUCUUUGCGAGAAUCCUUCCCCAGCAAAGGCCUCUCCUACUGGGAGUAGAUAUAUCUUCUGUUCUUUGUAAGUCCCUAUUUUAUUGAAGGCCUUGCAGCUGUAGAUUCCAGGGGUCCGAGAGUCUGCCACCACCAAGGUGCUAACCGUCUGCAAAAGAGACACAAAGUUCAGCUGGAGGACAGAGAUCGAUUGGGACAGCCCUGAGUGACUCGGAGGGCUGGAGUGAUUCAGCUGUUCCAUGCACGUAGAGGGUAUGGCAGGGGUGGUAGCCACCCGCAAGCUCUCUGCUUUGGAGCCCCAGCACGAACAGAAAAAUAACAGGAAGACAGGUCCUCAGGAGACCGGAGCCCAUGACAUCCGAUGUAGGAGGGUUUCAAGGGCUUAUCUCGGUCUGCUGCCAUAACAAUCACAGACCUGAAACAGAGGUGUGGAACUGCACGUCCCACCCCACAAGGUGGUCUGUCCACAUCUGUGAGAGGAACAGACCAGCAAGAGCCAUGGAGGAUGUGGAAAAUUGUGGUAAGACAACCUUGUUGGGGACAGUGUGAGGGCAGCCACUAGCUGGUGGUAGCAGGAAAGACAGAUUGAUGAUCAAGUACAUUGUGACCCCCUGUGCUGUCUGGGGAGUCUGGGCUCCAGCCUGUCCAAGCUCUUCACGGGAAGAUCCGAAAUGAAUGUCUACACUGAGGACUUCCUGUUUGCAGUCAUCGUAAGCCCAAGUUACUUACUAAGUAAGUUCCUACUGUUGAUCAUAAAGGACCCAUGCAGAUUCUUGCAUGUAUAGUUGUCCAAUUUGGAUUCAUGGUUUAGUUAGAUAUGUCUGCUUAUAUUACAUAAACAGAAGCCCCAUUUCUGUUGGCUUGAGAAUAUUUGACAUUUCAGACAGUCACCGUUUAUACUGUUGUUAAAAUGACUUGGAUUUUGCAAAACUCAGAGUGACCGAGGAGAACUGGGGUUUGUGGCAAGGUGAAACUAGCCUGCAUAUGUACAUUUGCCAUGUUUGAGACCUGCACACAGUGGGCUGGAGAGAUGACGCAGUGGUAUACGCAUAUGCUCUUGCAGAGGAUCAGGGUUUGAUUCCCACAUAGUCGCUCCCAAUGAUCUGUAACUUCAGCUACAGUAACUAUAACCUCAGAAGAUCUGACACCCUCUUCUGACCUCCGUGGGAACCAGGUAUGCACAUGAUAUACAGUCAUACAUACAUGCAAACCCAUCAUACACAUAAAGUAAAUAAAUAAAUUAGACUUGCCCACACUGUCUGAAAUGGUUGUAGCAGCUUUAGUCUUAUUGAGCUAUGUCAGACUUUUUGUGUAAUCUGAGAAUAAAGCUAAGAUGCCCAGAGGUGAUAUGAAUCAAUGCCAUACAAUGAAGAGAGAAUUAUAAAUCAAAUAUUUUUUUUUCUUUGCCUAAGUAAUGCUUUCCAAUACAAGACACCUAUGCACCGUCAGGCACGCUCCAGAAUUGAACUCACCAUGGUUUCUGUUACUGUAGAAAUUAUGUAGGUGAAAUGUUUAUCAUUUCUUUGUGGCGAGUCCUUCAUGUUGCCCUUGGUGGUAACAGGACAGCUUUAUCUUAGCCCCGUGAGAUGGGGGCAUUAAACAAAUAAGGCAACCAAAGGUUUCUAGGAGUUAAAGGAUGAACCCCAAGACUCCAGAGACCACAGGCAUGUCUGGGAAGAGCAUCUAUCCUGGUGUGUAGAAUUCAAGAGCUCACACUCUCAAUCUCUGAUGGCUUCCCCACCAAAACUCUUCACAAUGAGUAGCAAAACCUAUUGAUAAGGACCUGUCUACCAUUUGAAUAGGAUUUUCCUUGAAAGUGGCUCUUUUAAUCAGCAGUAGUUGGUAGCAUAAGCUAAACACUGUUUUCCUUCUGGGAUAGAAUUUCACACAAACUGAAAACUUUCUUAUUUCUCUUUGGUUUUUCAAGACAGGAUUUCUCUGUGUAACAGCCCUGACUGUCCUGGACUUUAUAGACCAG